Glossina fuscipes is the source of this 3272-nucleotide long non-coding RNA. RefSeq lists it as uncharacterized. NCBI's taxonomy places the organism in Eukaryota, Metazoa, Arthropoda, Insecta, Diptera, Glossinidae. The record is from RefSeq and is a predicted model, not a curated record. The transcript has 3 exons.
GAGCGAACGUGAUUUUGACUGUGAUUUUCUGAUUUUGACGCUUAAAAACAACAAAAUCUCCUUUUGUCAAAACUGUUAGCAAUCCAGCGAAGAUCGAUCGAAAUUAAAUUGAAAUAAAUUCCUUACCAUAUAAGAAAACAAGAAAGAACAAAAAAAAAAAAAAAAAAGGAACAACAUUGACAAGUGCUUUGGCACCAUGGGCUGGCCGUUUAUGCGUUCGCUCGCUGGGCUCAUUUAAAGGAUUGCACAAUCCCGUCACUUUUAGUGUAAAUGCAUGCGCACAAACCUACACAUGCACCUUUAUAUGCAGAUUUAUUAAUCGGUGGUAACUGAAGGUUGCUGCCAGAGGUCACAGCGGUGGUAUGAGAAAUGCAAGACAUUUAUAAAUGCCGAUCGGUAGGAAGAUCUCUUGUAUAGAAAGUUUUAAAGUACGCUUUGUUGGAUAGUUUUAAACAAAACAAAAAAACGGUUAGAUUCGUGGUCAGAACACGCAGGGAGGUGAGAGCGAAUGGGAAAUAAGUAAACUUAAGCUUCAUAUAAAAUAAAAUUUAAAUUUAAAUUCUCGGGAAGACAACGGCAAAUUAAAAAGUGUACAAAAGGCCACACCCACAACAAUGGAAUGGGAAAUUCUGCUGCUGUUGUACAACUUUCCGAUAAAACUGUAAUACGUGAAGUCAGAUCAGCCGCCCGAAUUUUCUGAGACGCACAAAUAUAUGCGAACGGUACAUAGUGUCUCUGUGUAAGUGAAGUUCGUUUAACCCGAAAGUAAUGCACCUUCGAAUUUAAACUAAGAAAGAGCAUAUGCCAAGCACACCGUCUAAGCAGUCCAGAAUGCUUACCUUACGGUUUUUCUUUUCUCAGCGAGCACUAUAGCCCGAUGCUAGCUAACUAAUUGCUUAUCUUAUUUGGGUCCUUCCAGCAAAGUCUUUUAUGCAUUGUACAAAACAAGCUUCAUUUAGUUGCUUAAUCAGAUUCUAAAUAAAGCAGUCCCUGCGGGAGAUAAGAGGUAGCUUUCUUCCUUCCUUUAAAUAUUAGGGGACGUUUUAGAAAAAGGCUUAAUUGAGGACGUUCAAAUAUUUCAACGGUUCAAAAGUUCAAUGCAGAGCAGAAGACAUGCAGAUUAAAAUUUGAAACUUGAAACUUCAAACGCAUAUUUCUGCACGCCGCGCACUUCGAGUUGAGCAUAUUACAAGUACAGCACUUUUAAUUUUGAUGCGAUUGCCUCGAAAUUGUAUUGUUGUGAACAGCGGUAGGAUAUUUGAUAUAAAUCAAUAUUCCUAGAUUUCGAGAUGGCCGAUUUUCGAAGGACUCUUAAAAAAAAAAUUCUUAGAUUCUGGCUCAUAUUUUCACUUUUCUUGCUUUACUAUUGUGACCUGUAGAGUAAAUGGAAGGAGAGCUUUUCCUAGAAUUGCAGGAACUUAUGCACUGAACAGAUAAAAACCAACGGUUUUUUUUUUUAUUACUUAUCUAUUAUCCUUGUCAGAAUUGUAAGUUUCAUUCUAAUUUGUUUUUUCUAUUCUUGUAACACGAUGGCUGUGAGAAAGAAGAGAAGAAAAGAAAGAGAUAGGGACGGAAAUGGCGGCAGCCUAGUAGAUUUGUGCUCAAUCGAUAAUGCCUUUACCGACUAAGCACGCGCCAUACAUGUGAAUCCAAAGAAAACACUUUAGGUUUGAAUGCGCGGGCACUGACUUCGUAGUCGCGGCUCUCAGCUACUCAGCUGCUCAGGCAGAUGGCUUUAAGAAGAAAACAGAAGUUUUCGUCUCGGGUGGGCUGCCGAUCGGUAAUCCCCAUCAUUUCAAGUAUAUACGAUAAAUGUCGUAGAAAUCUUCGUUGACCGUAAACGUGAGGUUACAGUCGUAAUAGCUAUUAGUGAAUUUCUGACUGAAGUAACAGUUAUGUGUGGACCGGGACAACUGUGGAGGAGGGGUCAAGUUUGUUUAUUUGCGGAAUGCAAGUAAGUUUGUCGAACUUUUAAUUGUAAUUCUUGCGACUUUGACAAUUUCACACACCAGAACGUACAAAUUGUCUGCUGACCGAAUGUAUAUACGACGUAUAUAUAUGUUAUCAAUUUUGCUCGUUUCAAAAUAAUUCCCCUGGGAUAUAAUAGAUUUGUGGCAGUGCUUGCUCCAAUGCUCGAAGCAGUCCUGGUAUGCGCUUUUUGACAUGUCCUUGAACUCUUUCAGCGAUUCUGUUUUUAUCUGCUUACUUGUGGCAAAAAACCGACCUUUCAUGGAUUUUUUCAGUUUUGGAGCAAGCAAAAGUCGUGGGGGACCAAACGCAAUAACUACGUUAGCUGACGCACGGUUACGGUGUCGUUUUCGCCGAAAAAAUUACGAACAAGCAAUGGUGGGCUGGCGCGUUGUUGUGGAGCAACAUCGGUUACGUUUUAUGACCACAACAUCCGCAAAAAUUACAUGGCGUGAGCCAGACGAUGAUAGGCCAGUAAUCGUAGCAACCUCGCUAAUAUGUAUUCAACGAUUCCCCAUAACUGUUUGCUUCACUGCUUCAACGGUUUCUUCGCAAGUCAGAAAACUGUGGACCAUAAAAACUUUCUCAUGACAGCCAACGUUCUCCUUCUACGAGAUAGAAAAAAAGUACAUUGCCGCUCCGCAGCAUUUCCGCUUAGAGCAUUUAGUUUGGCGCGACAAUCUUCUAAAAUAUUUACUUCACAUCUACCUCAAGAGCAGUUUUCAAUAUAUUUCUUAUAUUGCCUUUAUAUUGACUUAUUAUUGAAAUCAGUAAUUAGUGAUCGGUGGAGACGAGGUAUUUUUUCCAUAGAUAUUUAAAAAUCAUAUUUUUGCCCUAAAUUUAUGUUAAUCAACCUUAGCGUGAUUGGCAUUAGUCAUGGAAUUAAUUGUUACUUUAUUAUUUAUUAUUAUUAUUCUGGAUUCUUUAAUAAAAAAAAUUGCUUUGAUCCUCAAUAAGUAGUUGAAGGUCAGCGAGGAGAGAGCGUCUUCAGCAUAAAGGAAUCGCACGAUUAGAAAUGCAAUAUUGAAAAAUCACCUUUUAUGGAAGCAUUAUAUACACACGUCUAGAUAUGUUUAUUAUGCCUCACUUGUUACUGUUAUUAAACGUUUGGCGAAAUUUUCUCAAGUCUCUAUAAAAUUUCGGGACUAUUAAGCAUUUAAAAAGUGCAUUCUGGAUACGUUAGUUCAAUAAAAUUGCAUAACUAAGCUGUUUUUGUUAAAACACUUCCUUCUGCUGAUUAAGUGCUUAAUUCAAUUCAAACACAUUUAUGUAUAGUUAAUAUUGACAUUUUUAAGAUUUUCUUG